This 22-nucleotide microRNA is filed under the name Panagrellus redivivus. RNAcentral describes it as "prd-miR-7940b-5p". The record is from miRBase by way of RNAcentral. Lineage: Eukaryota; Metazoa; Nematoda; Chromadorea; Rhabditida; Panagrolaimidae.
GUAAGAUGAAUCUACGGUUAUU